ACCUGGCAGGGUGGCGCAUGCCUGUAGUCCCAGCUACUUGGGAGGCAGAGGCUGGAGGAUUGCUUGAGUCCAGGAGUUCUGGGCUGUAGUGUGUUAUGCCAAUUGGGUAUCCACACUAAGUUCUGCAUCAAUAUGGUGACCUCCUGGGAGCGGGGGACCACCAGGUUGCCUAAGGAAGGGUGAAAUGGCCCAGGUCAGAAACCAAGCAGGUCAAAACUCCAGUGCCGAUCAGUAUUGGGAUUGUGCCUGUGAAUAGCCACUGCAGUCCAUCAUGGGCAACAUAUCGAGACGCCGUCUCU
RNAcentral lists this signal recognition particle RNA (299 nucleotides) under Saimiri boliviensis boliviensis (Bolivian squirrel monkey). RNAcentral describes it as "Metazoan signal recognition particle RNA (ENSSBOG00000001967.1)". It matches the Rfam family "Metazoan signal recognition particle RNA". Rfam says of the family: The signal recognition particle (SRP) is a universally conserved ribonucleoprotein. It is involved in the co-translational targeting of proteins to membranes. Lineage: Eukaryota; Metazoa; Chordata; Mammalia; Primates; Cebidae. The record is from RNAcentral.